AGGCGUUGUUCGGAAUUACUGGGCGUAAAGGGCUCGUAGGCGGCCAACUAAGUCGGACGUGAAAUCCCCAGGCUCAACCUGGGAACUGCGUCCGAUACUGGAUGGCUUGAAUCCGGGAGAGGGAUGCAGAAUUCCAGGUGUAGCGGUGAAAUGCGUAGAUAUCUGGAGGAAUACCGGUGGCGAAGGCGGCAUCCUGGACCGGCAUUGACGCUGAGGAGCGAAAGCCAGGGGAGCAAACGGG
This 241-nucleotide ribosomal RNA is filed under the name uncultured bacterium. RNAcentral's name for it is "partial 16S ribosomal RNA". It matches the Rfam family "Bacterial small subunit ribosomal RNA", at positions 536 to 776 of the family's 1533-position model. The record is from RNAcentral.